ACACUCCUGCGGGAGGCAGCAGUGGGGAAUUUUGGACAAUGGGCGAAAGCCUGAUCCAGCAAUGCCGCGUGCAGGAUGAAGGCCUUCGGGUUGUAAACUGCUUUUGUACGGAACGAAAAAGCUCCUUCUAAUACAGGGGGCCCAUGACGGUACCGUAAGAAUAAGCACCGGCUAACUACGUGCCAGCAGCCGCGGUAAUACGUAGGGUGCGAGCGUUAAUCGGAAUUACUGGGCGUAAAGCGUGCGCAGGCGGUUAUGUAAGACAGAUGUGAAAUCCCCGGGCUCAACCUGGGAACUGCAUUUGUGACUGCAUGGCUAGAGUACGGUAGAGGGGGAUGGAAUUCCGCGUGUAGCAGUGAAAUGCGUAGAUAUGCGGAGGAACACCGAUGGCGAAGGCAAUCCCCUGGACCUGUACUGACGCUCAUGCACGAAAGCGUGGGGAGCAAACAGGAUUAGAUACCCUAGUAGGCC
Molecule: ribosomal RNA, 471 nt
Filed under: uncultured organism
Description: partial 16S ribosomal RNA
Rfam family: Bacterial small subunit ribosomal RNA
Source: RNAcentral